CACGUAGGGGGCGAGCGUUGUCCGGAAUUACUGGGCGUAAAGGGCGCGCAGGCUGUUAUGCGAGUCUGCUGUGAAAUGUAUCUGCUUAACGGGUACACUGCAGUUGAAACUGGUUUUCUUGAGUGCGCAAGAGGCAGGCGGAAUUCGUUGUGUAGCGGUGAAAUGCUUAGAUAUUAGGAGGAAUACCAGUGGCGAAGGCGACUUUCUGGACUUAUACUGACGCUGAGGAACGAAAGCGUGGGGAGCAAACAGGAUUAGAUACCU
Molecule: ribosomal RNA, 264 nt
Filed under: uncultured prokaryote
Description: partial 16S ribosomal RNA
Rfam family: Bacterial small subunit ribosomal RNA
Source: RNAcentral